GGAGGGAGCGAGCGUUGCCCGGAAUUACUGGGCGUAAAGGGGAUGUAGGCGGAUCAGUAAGUCGGAUGUGAAAUCUGUGGGCUCAACUCACAGACCGUGUCCGAUACUGCUGAUCUUGAGCACGGGAGAGGAGAGUGGAACUCCCAGUGUAGCGGUGGAAUGCGUAGAUAUUGGGAGGAACACCAGUGGCGAAGGCGGCUCUCUGGCCCGUUGCUGACGCUGAGGUCCGAAAGCUGGGGGGGGAGCGAACAGGAUUAGAUACCCUGGUAGUCCCAGCCCCUAAACGAUGGGCACUAGGUGUAGGUCCCAACGGAUCUGUGCCGAAGCUAACGCAUUAAGUGCCCCCGCCUGGGAGUACGGUCGCAAGGCUG
Molecule: ribosomal RNA, 371 nt
Filed under: uncultured organism
Description: partial 16S ribosomal RNA
Rfam family: Bacterial small subunit ribosomal RNA
Source: RNAcentral